Molecule: transfer RNA, 90 nt
Filed under: Aeromonas phage CC2
Lineage: Duplodnaviria; Heunggongvirae; Uroviricota; Caudoviricetes; Pantevenvirales; Straboviridae
Also listed under: 3 other names
Rfam family: tRNA
About the family: Transfer RNA (tRNA) molecules are approximately 80 nucleotides in length. Their secondary structure includes four short double-helical elements and three loops (D, anti-codon, and T loops). Further hydrogen bonds mediate the characteristic L-shaped molecular structure. tRNAs have two regions of fundamental functional importance: the anti-codon, which is responsible for specific mRNA codon recognition, and the 3' end, to which the tRNAs corresponding amino acid is attached (by aminoacyl-tRNA synthetases). tRNAs cope with the degeneracy of the genetic code in two manners: having more than one tRNA (with a specific anti-codon) for a particular amino acid; and 'wobble' base-pairing, i.e. permitting non-standard base-pairing at the 3rd anti-codon position.
Source: Rfam by way of RNAcentral
GCGUGAGUGGCGAAGUUGGUUGAAACGCAUCGGACUUAAAAUCCGAUACUGCAUAAUGGCACAUCGUGGGUUCGAUUCCCACCUCACGCA